RNAcentral lists this ribosomal RNA (467 nucleotides) under uncultured bacterium. RNAcentral describes it as "partial 16S ribosomal RNA". It matches the Rfam family "Bacterial small subunit ribosomal RNA", at positions 28 to 506 of the family's 1533-position model. The record is from RNAcentral.
GACGAACGCUGGCGGCGUGCUUAACACAUGCAAGUCGAACGGAAAGGCCCUGCUUUUGUGGGGUGCUCGAGUGGCGAACGGGUGAGUAACACGUGAGUAACCUGCCCUUGACUUUGGGAUAACUUCAGGAAACUGGGGCUAAUACCGGAUAGGAGCUCCUGCUGCAUGGUGGGGGUUGGAAAGUUUCGGCGGUUGGGGAUGGACUCGCGGCUUAUCAGCUUGUUGGUGGGGUAGUGGCUUACCAAGGCUUUGACGGGUAGCCGGCCUGAGAGGGUGACCGGCCACAUUGGGACUGAGAUACGGCCCAGACUCCUACGGGAGGCAGCAGGGGGGAAUAUUGCACAAUGGGCGGAAGCCUGAUGCAGCAACGCCGCGUGCGGGAUGACGGCCUUCGGGUUGUAAACCGCUUUCGCCUGUGACGAAGCGUGAGUGACGGUAAUGGGUAAAGAAGCACCGGCGAACUACGU